AACAAAAGUUAAAGUUUAUAUGCAAAAUACAAUGCUGUCAACUUUGACAUGGUUUGGUAUUUUAAUUAUAAUUAAUUGUACAAAUUAGAUAUUAAGUUGAUUCUUUUUCCAUUAGAAAGUAGACUCGAAUAGCUUCGAUUCGAGUACUUAUACGCGUAAUUCCGACAUCGGGAAGGGGUUCAACCGGACUGACAAAGUUGUCAAAAUCAGACUCACUCGCUGUACGCGUUUUGGACGCGUUUUGGACGCGUUUUGACUCAGUAAACGCGUUUUACUAUUUAAACACGUUUUUCUGGUUAUUUAAGAGGGUUUUGGGGCUGAGAGAAUUCCUAAGUUGAAUCUGAGAACUGUUACCUAAAAGCAUUGGACCAGAGAAGUUUUAGAGCUAAGUUUGGAGCCACGAGAAGGAAUUCUAAGGCAGAGGAACGUCGGGGAACCGUUUGAAAGCAAGCUUAGGAGAAAACCAAGUCGGUGAUAUGCCGGUGGAGCAAGCCUUAGAUGGAGGAUCGACUGAAGAAUAGUUUUAAUAUUGAAACCUAUGUUUUUAUUUCUGUUUUAAGGUGUGGAGUGUAAUUAGUUUGAAUUAACAGUGAGGGUUUGUAUAAUAAUGAGGAAAACUCUUAUUCCUCCUUCUAUCAACUGUUCUAUUGUAUCAAUGAUGUAAGAACUCUAUUAUAGUUUGAUGCUAUAAUUAUGGGGAUGUUACAAUAUA
Long non-coding RNA from Vigna angularis (adzuki bean), 712 nucleotides. RefSeq lists it as uncharacterized. The record is from RefSeq and is a predicted model, not a curated record. NCBI's taxonomy places the organism in Eukaryota, Viridiplantae, Streptophyta, Magnoliopsida, Fabales, Fabaceae. The transcript is spliced from 2 exons.